Molecule: long non-coding RNA, 1050 nt
Organism: Drosophila miranda
Lineage: Eukaryota; Metazoa; Arthropoda; Insecta; Diptera; Drosophilidae
Exons: 2
Source: RefSeq, a predicted model, not a curated record
UACAAAAAAUACUAAAGACUUAGGACACAAACCUUCGCGUACCGCAUUUAGUCUGAACCGGCCCUGGAUAGAGUGCGCUUUUUGUAUCUUUUCAGACCCCGCCGUUCAUUUCGUGUCUUGCUUGUGCAUUGUAUUCAUUUUCAAAAGUUCGAACUCGAAAGCACUGCCGCACCACCGCCACCGCCGCUGACGCCUGCCGCCUGUUGCCUUGUUCUUUUUUUGUUUUGCUUUUCUGUAAGCCGUGUGAAAGUGGUAGUGCAGUCGCAGGCAUCAGGUAGAGAGACACACACAAACGUGCAUACAUACAUGCAAGCUCAGAGAUCAGGAGAGAGCGCACGACGAUCAAGAGAGAGAUCAAGCAUACCCAGAGACGACUGAAAUACGUAAAAUAGUUAUGCAUGUACCACAAUCCCAUGUAGCGGAGCCGCGGCACAGACUCCGGACGCCGCUGGCUUUUGUCGGCUGCCCCUUGCCUCCCGCCCCCGCUACUGACGACGUUGUUGCCUUAGUCCAUGUUACAUUCAAUAUAAGGUACACAUGCUCAUGUGUUUGUGCAGCAUCCGCAUAUAGGUCCACAUUUAGCAAACGUCUCAAUGCAUAAGACAGCUUUGCCUUCAACAACAACAACAGCAACUGCGACGGCAAUCAACGCUGUGUCGUGGACGGACUGCCGCCCCACCACUGGAAAGGGUGUCCCCAUCAUCUCCCCCUCAACUUCUGCACUCCCCAAUCAACGGUCUUCGUGUGGAGCAGGCGCGCACGCGUGGAGCACGCUGAGCCAUCGGGGCGGCCCGUUGGUGGCUUUAAAACUUGCGGUCGCUUGAUGACCCAAGUGCCAGUUCUAUGAACAAAUUUGUUGCUUCAUGUAAUUUUACAUCUCAAUAUGUAUACAGUUAUGUAGAUUUCCAGAUCAUGUAGAACUGAGGGACACACCUUGGGAGGUGUUUUUGAGAAUAUUUUGUAUGCUUUAAUUUGAGUUUAAUUUUCAUGUUUGUUUAUUGUUGCAAUAUAUUUAAUGUUUAAAACUAAAUGUAGGCUUAGUUUAAUCCA